CCGCAUACGUCCUACGGGAGAAAGUGGGGGCUCUUCGGACCUCACGCUAUUGGAUGAGCCUAAGUCGGAUUAGCUUGUUGGUGGGGUAAAGGCCUACCAAGGCGACGAUCCGUAGCUGGUCUGAGAGGACGAUCAGCCACACUGGGACUGAGACACGGCCCAGACUCCUACGGGAGGCAGCAGUGGGGAAUAUUGGACAAUGGGGGCAACCCUGAUCCAGCAAUGCCGCGUGUGUGAAGAAGGCCUGCGGGUUGUAAAGCACUUUCAGUAGAGAAGAAAAGCUCAGGGUUAAUACCCCUGGGUCUUGACGUAACCUACAGAAGAAGCACCGGCUAACUCCGUGCCAGCAGCCGCGGUAAUACGGAGGGUGCGAGCGUUAAUCGGAAUUACUGGGCGUAAAGCGCGCGUAGGCGGUUGGAUUAGUCGGAUGUGAAAGCCCAGGGCUUAACCUUGGAAUUGCAUUCGAUACUGUCCAGCUAGAGUAUGGGAGAGGGAAGCGGAAUUUCCGGUGUAGCGGUGAAAUGCGUAGAUAUCGGAAGGAACACCCAUUGGCGAAGGCGGCUUUCCUGAACCAAUACUGAACGCUGAGGUGGGAAAGCGUGGGGAGCGAACCGGAAUAGAUACCCUGGGUAUCCACGCCGGAAACGAAGAAAACCUGAUGGUGGGAAGGAUUGGCCCUUCCGUGUCGCAGCUAAAGGCU
This 700-nucleotide ribosomal RNA is filed under the name uncultured bacterium. Its description in RNAcentral is "bacterial SSU rRNA". It matches the Rfam family "Bacterial small subunit ribosomal RNA", at positions 169 to 859 of the family's 1533-position model. The record is from RNAcentral.